Tupaia belangeri chinensis (Chinese tree shrew) is the source of this 587-nucleotide long non-coding RNA. RefSeq lists it as uncharacterized. The record is from RefSeq and is a predicted model, not a curated record. The transcript is spliced from 4 exons. NCBI's taxonomy places the organism in Eukaryota, Metazoa, Chordata, Mammalia, Scandentia, Tupaiidae.
AGGGCUGUAAAGCUGUCCAAGUGACCACAGUAUCAAGCUUCUGUUCAAUGGCUAGAAAACUUUACCAAAGAAAACUCCUUCAGAAGUUCAGACAAAAGCAGGCAGAAAGAAAUUUGCCUACGAAAAGCCCAUUAGCUCUGAAGAAGUUCAAGCUGCUCCACAUGUGUGCUCACCAAGGGCUUUCUGAAGGGACUACACUCCAUCCAUGGUUUUAGAUGAAGGUCCAUGGGCAUCUGGGAACAUUUUCAGAGACCAGGUCCAGCAAGUGCUAUCUGAGGACCUACUAUGGGCCAAUCACUGAAACAGAUGCUGGAAUUCAAGGAUAAAGAAGAUUCAUCCCUGUUUCCCAGAGCUCACAGUUCUCAGCACAAAAUGAAGAAGGGGACAGAGCACCCACUGAGACUCAGGGAUAGCUGGUCACUAAGCUGAACCUUGAGUGACAAAGAAAGUUACACUGUGUCUCCCAGGGAAAUUGCUAUUUCUCACAAAGAAUCUAAAGACGUAAAAGCCUGUGAGAGCACUGUGCGUGGGCUGUUGUGAGACAAGCAGUCCUUAUCAGGGGUUCAGAUAAGACAAACUUUCUUCCC